GGGCCGGUAGUUCAGCGGCAGAACGUCGGUUUUGCAUACCGAAGAUCAGGGGUUCGAUUCCCCUCCGGUCCA
This 72-nucleotide transfer RNA is filed under the name Candidatus Portnoybacteria bacterium CG23_combo_of_CG06-09_8_20_14_all_37_13. Its description in RNAcentral is "tRNA-Ala". It matches the Rfam family "tRNA". Rfam says of the family: Transfer RNA (tRNA) molecules are approximately 80 nucleotides in length. Their secondary structure includes four short double-helical elements and three loops (D, anti-codon, and T loops). Lineage: Bacteria; Candidatus Portnoyibacteriota. The record is from RNAcentral.